RNAcentral lists this ribosomal RNA (422 nucleotides) under uncultured bacterium. Its description in RNAcentral is "partial 16S ribosomal RNA". It matches the Rfam family "Bacterial small subunit ribosomal RNA", at positions 359 to 773 of the family's 1533-position model. The record is from RNAcentral.
GAAUAUUGGACAAUGGGGGCAACCCUGAUCCAGCCAUGCCGCGUGUAUGAAGAAGGUCUUCGGAUUGUAAAGCACUUUAAGUUGGGAGGAAGGGCUUUAGGUUAUUACUCUGAAGUUUUGACGUUACCAACAGAAUAAGCACCGUCUAACUCUGUGCCAGCAGCCGCGGUAAUACAGAAGGUGCAAGCGUUAAUCGGAAUUACUGGGCGUAAAGCGCGUGUAGGUGGUUCAGUAAGAUGGGUGUGAAAUCCCCGGGCUUAACCUGGGAAAUGCUUUCAUAACUGCUGAGCUAGAGUACGGUAGAAGGUAGUGGAAUUUCCUGUGUAGCGGUGAAAUGCGUAGAUAUAGGAAGGAACACCAGUGGCGAAGGCGACUACCUGGACUGAUACUGACACUGAGGUGCGAAAGCGUGGGGAGCAAAC